UUUCCGUAGGUGAACCUGCGGAAGGAUCAUUAUCGUACAACCGAGGUGCAAAGGCUGUCGCUGACCCUCAAAGGUCGUGCACGCCCGAGCGCUCUCACACAAUCCAUCUCACCUUUGUGCAUCACCGCGUGGGUCCUCCCCUUUGCGGGGGAGGGCUUGCGUUUUCACAUAAAACUCGAUACAGUGUAGAAUGUUUCUUUUUUUUGCGGUCACACGCAAUCAAUACAACUUUCAACAACGGAUCUCUUGGCUCUC
RNAcentral lists this unclassified non-coding RNA (255 nucleotides) under soil metagenome. RNAcentral's name for it is "partial contains small subunit ribosomal RNA, internal transcribed spacer 1, and 5.8S ribosomal RNA". The record is from RNAcentral.